RNAcentral lists this transfer RNA (76 nucleotides) under Camelus bactrianus (Bactrian camel). It matches the Rfam family "tRNA". From Rfam's summary of the family: Transfer RNA (tRNA) molecules are approximately 80 nucleotides in length. Their secondary structure includes four short double-helical elements and three loops (D, anti-codon, and T loops). Lineage: Eukaryota; Metazoa; Chordata; Mammalia; Artiodactyla; Camelidae. The record is from Rfam by way of RNAcentral. RNAcentral also lists the same sequence under 2 other names.
GGGGGUAUAGCUCAAGUGGUAGAGCGCAUGCUUAGCAAGCACUACUAGGUCCUGGGUUCAAUCCCCACUACCUCCA